This 1180-nucleotide long non-coding RNA is filed under the name Monodelphis domestica (gray short-tailed opossum). Its description in RNAcentral is "lncRNA (ENSMODG00000037018.1)". Lineage: Eukaryota; Metazoa; Chordata; Mammalia; Didelphimorphia; Didelphidae. The record is from RNAcentral.
GUUAUAUAUUAUGUUAUUAUAGGAAUAUAUCUAUGAUCGUUAUUUAAUUAUAUAAUAUAGUCAUAUAAUAUUAUAUUAUUAUAGGAAUAAAUCUAUCUGUGAUAGAUUUAAUGGUCGCUUGAACGUCUUAAGGGUUCCCCGAAAGCAGGAAAGUUCAGAAGAAGCUGCUCAGUGCCCAACAUGAAUAAGGACGAAGGGUGGGGAAUGAUGAGCGUCAAGAACUGGGGCGCACAUACACAGAUGUAGGAGGACUCAGUGACUUCCUUUGUAAUGGUCUUCACAAUCUAUGGGGAGGAUAACUAUUGAAGCCUCCCCAGAGGAGUUUCGCGAGACUCGGCCAGGGAGUUUCCUCGGGCUUCUCUUGGAAAAUGUCCCCUCAUGGGCCGCGUCUCCUCUCUGGGACCAAACUCGGGACGCCCAGGUGCUCCCUGCUGCCGGCCCGACCCUUCUCAGGGAGGCGCAGUCACGGCUUCCGGAAUUCAUGGGAUGACUUCCUCCACUUGUCAAAGUGGGUUCCUGUUCAGGGCCACCUGCAGGCCUAUAAGCCGGGCUGCUUUCCCUUGUGCCCGCCCAGCUCUUCGCAGAGAAGCUGAUGCGGUUCCUCCGGCUCCAGGCAAGAAAGGAAGAAGGCCGGAAAAGACGUGAGCAUCCUCUGUAUGGAGCUCUCAGCGGGGCGUGCUCGGCAGGAGAGCGGAUGGCGCCUGCUCAUUUCAGAGCGAAGGCUUGGAGCAGGAGCUGUUCUUAGCUGGGGGCCGGCCCCAGAGCCCCUCGACCAUGCAUGUCCCACAGACGAUUCCUCUAGAGAAAUGCGGAGGGGGGGAGGGGGAGACGUCCCCUCUGCUUCCACAAGGCCCGACUGUCUCAUUUAAUGAGCAAGUGAACGUCUAUGCAGCAAAACGGAAAUAAGUCUCUUUGUGGCUCUGAGAUAAUGCCCGAGAUUGGACGGGCACGAGGGGACGGGCGGCUCCCGCGUGAUUCCCGUUGGGUGUCCUCGUGCCCAGAGACCGGAAGGCCCUGCUGGAGAGCGGGCCAAAAAGUUUGCACUUUUCCAAAGAGUCAGCGGUUCACGGAGCUCCUCACGGAUGCAUCUCAGUUCAGCCCCCCGCAUGAAGGAAGGUGGAGAGAGAAAGGAAGGAAGGAAGGAAAAAAGGAAAGAAGGAACAAAGGAACAAAGGAAUGA